This 251-nucleotide ribosomal RNA is filed under the name uncultured prokaryote. Its description in RNAcentral is "partial 16S rRNA". It matches the Rfam family "Bacterial small subunit ribosomal RNA", at positions 525 to 775 of the family's 1533-position model. The record is from RNAcentral.
ACAGAGGUCCCAAGCGUUGUUCGGAUUCACUGGGCGUAAAGGGUGCGUAGGCGGUUGGGAAAGUCUGACGUGAAAUCUCCGGGCCUAACCCGGAAACUGCGUUGGAAACUAUCCAGCUUGAGGGUUGGAGGGGGGACUGGAAUUCUCGGUGUAGCAGUGAAAUGCGUAGAUAUCGAGAGGAACACCAGUGGCGAAGGCGGGUCCCUGGACAACACCUGACGCUGAGGCACGAAAGCCGGGGGAGCAAACAG